This 161-nucleotide ribosomal RNA is filed under the name uncultured bacterium. Its description in RNAcentral is "partial 16S ribosomal RNA". It matches the Rfam family "Bacterial small subunit ribosomal RNA", at positions 349 to 507 of the family's 1533-position model. The record is from RNAcentral.
CAGCAGUGAGGAAUAUUGGUCAAUGGGCGAGAGCCUGAACCAGCCAUCCCGCGUGCAGGAUGACGGCCCUACGGGUUGUAAACUGCUUUUCUGCAAGAAGAAUGGUCACUACGUGUAGUGAUUUGACGGUAUUGCAGGAAUAAGCAUCGGCCAACUCCGUG